This 497-nucleotide ribosomal RNA is filed under the name uncultured bacterium. RNAcentral's name for it is "partial 16S ribosomal RNA". It matches the Rfam family "Bacterial small subunit ribosomal RNA", at positions 28 to 507 of the family's 1533-position model. The record is from RNAcentral.
GACGAACGCUGGCGGCGUGCCUAAUACAUGCAAGUUGAGCGCUGAAGGUUGGUACUUGUACCAACUGGAUGAGCAGCGAACGGGUGAGUAACGCGUGGGGAAUCUGCCUUUGAGCGGGGGACAACAUUUGGAAACGAAUGCUAAUACCGCAUAAAAACUUUAAACACAAGUUUUAAGUUUGAAAGAUGCAAUUGCAUCACUCAAAGAUGAUCCCGCGUUGUAUUAGCUAGUUGGUGAGGUAAAGGCUCACCAAGGCGAUGAUACAUAGCCGACCUGGGAGGGUGGUCGGCCACAUUGGGACUGGGACACGGCCCAAACGCCUACGGGAGGCAGCAGUAGGGAAUCUUCGGCAAUGGACGAAAGUCUGACCGAGCAACGCCGCGUGAGUGAAGAAGGUUUUCGGAUCGUAAAACUCUGUUGGUAGAGAAGAACGUUGGUGAGAGUGGAAAGCUCAUCAAGUGACGGUAACUACCCAGAAAGGGACGGCUAACUACGUG